Molecule: transfer RNA, 72 nt
Filed under: Candidatus Iainarchaeum sp.
Lineage: Archaea; Nanobdellati; Candidatus Iainarchaeota; Candidatus Iainarchaeia; Candidatus Iainarchaeales; Candidatus Iainarchaeaceae
Description: tRNA-Ala
Rfam family: tRNA
About the family: Transfer RNA (tRNA) molecules are approximately 80 nucleotides in length. Their secondary structure includes four short double-helical elements and three loops (D, anti-codon, and T loops).
Source: RNAcentral
GGGCUCGUGGUCUAUCGGCAUGACAUUUCGUUCGCAACGAAAAGGCAGCGGGUUCAAUUCCCGCCGAGUCCA